This 20-nucleotide ribosomal RNA is filed under the name Styphnolobium affine. RNAcentral's name for it is "Sophora affinis partial large subunit ribosomal RNA". Lineage: Eukaryota; Viridiplantae; Streptophyta; Magnoliopsida; Fabales; Fabaceae. RNAcentral also lists the same sequence under 5 other names. The record is from RNAcentral.
GAGACCUCAGGUCAGGCGGG